UGUAAAAUAGUGUAAGGUGCACAAAAGCAUUUGACUCUUUAAGAUCUGGUUCAACUCCAAAAUUUACAA
RNAcentral lists this transfer RNA (69 nucleotides) under Sclerolinum brattstromi. Its description in RNAcentral is "tRNA-Gln". It matches the Rfam family "tRNA". Rfam says of the family: Transfer RNA (tRNA) molecules are approximately 80 nucleotides in length. Lineage: Eukaryota; Metazoa; Annelida; Polychaeta; Sabellida; Siboglinidae. The record is from RNAcentral.